RNAcentral lists this ribosomal RNA (439 nucleotides) under uncultured bacterium. Its description in RNAcentral is "partial 16S ribosomal RNA". It matches the Rfam family "Bacterial small subunit ribosomal RNA", at positions 339 to 795 of the family's 1533-position model. The record is from RNAcentral.
CUACGGGCGGCAGCAGUGAGGAAUAUUGGACAAUGGGGGAAACCCUGAUCCAGCAAUGCCGCGUGAAUGAAGAAGGCCUUAGGGUUGUAAAGUUCUUUCACUCGUGAAGAUGAUGACGGUAGCGAGAGAAGAAGCCCCGGCUAACUCUGUGCCAGCAGCCGCGGUAAGACAGAGGGGGCUAGCGUUGUUCGGAAUAACUGGGUGUAAAGGGUGCGUAGGCGGUUGUUUAAGUAAAGUGUUAAAGCCCUGGGCUUAACCCAGGAAUCGCAUUUUAAACUGGACAGCUAGAGUGUGGUAGAGGAAAGUGGAAUUCCUAGUGUAGAGGUGGAAUUCGUAGAUAUUAGGAGGAACACCAGAGGCGAAGGCGGCUUUCUGGACCACAACUGACGCUGAGGCACGAAAGCGUGGGGAGCAAACAGGAUUAGAUACCCGCGUAGUC